Molecule: ribosomal RNA, 413 nt
Filed under: uncultured Gammaproteobacteria bacterium
Lineage: Bacteria; Pseudomonadati; Pseudomonadota; Gammaproteobacteria
Description: bacterial SSU rRNA
Rfam family: Bacterial small subunit ribosomal RNA
Source: RNAcentral
CGCGUAGGAAUCUGCCCGGUAAUGGGGGAUAGCCCGGAGAAAUCCGGAUUAAUACCGCAUACGCCCUAUGGGGGAAAGGUGGCCUCUUCGUGAAUGCUACCGUUAUCGGAUGAGCCUGCGUCGGAUUAGCUAGUUGGUGGGGUAAAGGCCCACCAAGGCGACGAUCCGUAGCUGGUCUGAGAGGAUGAUCAGCCACACUGGGACUGAGACACGGCCCAGACUCCUACGGGAGGCAGCAGUGGGGAAUAUUGGACAAUGGGCGCAAGCCUGAUCCAGCCAUGCCGCGUGUGUGAAGAAGGCUUUCGGGUUGUAAAGCACUUUCAGCGGGGAGGAAAGGUUUUAAGGUUAAUACCCUUAAGCUGUGACGUUACCCGCAGAAGAAGCACUGGCUAACUCAGUGCCAGCGGCCGCGG